RNAcentral lists this ribosomal RNA (497 nucleotides) under uncultured bacterium. Its description in RNAcentral is "partial 16S ribosomal RNA". It matches the Rfam family "Bacterial small subunit ribosomal RNA", at positions 28 to 507 of the family's 1533-position model. The record is from RNAcentral.
GAUGAACGCUGGCGGCGUGCCUAAUACAUGCAAGUCGAGCGAACAGACGAGGAGCUUGCUCCUCUGACGUUAGCGGCGGACGGGUGAGUAACACGUGGAUAACCUACCUAUAAGACUGGGAUAACUUCGGGAAACCGGAGCUAAUACCGGAUAAUAUCUUGAACCGCAUGGUUCAAUAGUGAAAGACGGCUUUGCUGUCACUUCUAGCUGGAUCCGCGCCGCAUUAGCUAGUUGGUAAGGUAACGGCUUAUCAAGGCGACGAUGCGUAGCCGACCUGAGAGGGUGAUCGGCCACACUGGAACUGGGACACGGUCCAGACUCCUACGGGAGGCAGCAGUAGGGAAUCUUCCGCAAUGGGCGAAAGCCUGACGGAGCAACGCCGCGUGAGUGAUGAAGGUCUUCGGAUCGUAAAACUCUGUUAUUAGGGAAGAACAAAUGUGUAAGUAACUAUGCACGGCUUGACGGUACCUAAUCAGAAAGCCACGGCUAACUACGUG